RNAcentral lists this ribosomal RNA (301 nucleotides) under uncultured bacterium. RNAcentral describes it as "partial 16S ribosomal RNA". It matches the Rfam family "Bacterial small subunit ribosomal RNA", at positions 509 to 808 of the family's 1533-position model. The record is from RNAcentral.
CAGUAGCCACGGUAAUACGGAGGGUGCAAGCGUUAAUCGGAAUUACUGGGCGUAAAGCGCACGCAGGCGGUUUGUUAAGUCAGAUGUGAAAUCCCCGAGCUUAACUUGGGAACUGCAUUUGAAACUGGCAAGCUAGAGUCUUGUAGAGGGGGGUAGAAUUCCAGGUGUAGCGGUGAAAUGCGUAGAGAUCUGGAGGAAUACCGGUGGCGAAGGCGGCCCCCUGGACAAAGACUGACGCUCAGGUGCGAAAGCGUGGGGAGCAAACAGGAUUAGAUACCCCGGUAGUCCCUGUCUCUUUACC